This 73-nucleotide transfer RNA is filed under the name Nanobdellota archaeon. RNAcentral describes it as "tRNA-Gln". It matches the Rfam family "tRNA". Rfam says of the family: Transfer RNA (tRNA) molecules are approximately 80 nucleotides in length. Their secondary structure includes four short double-helical elements and three loops (D, anti-codon, and T loops). Further hydrogen bonds mediate the characteristic L-shaped molecular structure. tRNAs have two regions of fundamental functional importance: the anti-codon, which is responsible for specific mRNA codon recognition, and the 3' end, to which the tRNAs corresponding amino acid is attached (by aminoacyl-tRNA synthetases). tRNAs cope with the degeneracy of the genetic code in two manners: having more than one tRNA (with a specific anti-codon) for a particular amino acid; and 'wobble' base-pairing, i.e. permitting non-standard base-pairing at the 3rd anti-codon position. The record is from RNAcentral. Lineage: Archaea; Nanobdellati; Nanobdellota.
AGCCCUGUGGUGUAGAGGCCAAGCAUAGCGGACUUUGGAUCCGUUGACCGCGGUUCGAAUCCGCGCAGGGCUA